UACGAAGGGGGCUAGCGUUGUUCGGAUUUACUGGGCGUAAAGCGCACGUAGGCGGGUUGUUAAGUCAGGGGUGAAAUCCUGGAGCUCAACUCCAGAACUGCCUUUGAUACUGGCAACCUAGAGGCUGGAAGAGGGUAGUGGAAUUCCCAGUGUAGAGGUGAAAUUCGUAGAUAUUGGGAAGAACACCAGUGGCGAAGGCGGCUAACUGGUCCAGAUCUGACGCUGAGGUGCGAAAGCGUGGGGAGCAAACAGG
This 253-nucleotide ribosomal RNA is filed under the name uncultured bacterium. RNAcentral's name for it is "partial 16S ribosomal RNA". It matches the Rfam family "Bacterial small subunit ribosomal RNA", at positions 524 to 776 of the family's 1533-position model. The record is from RNAcentral.